RNAcentral lists this unclassified non-coding RNA (294 nucleotides) under Hevea brasiliensis (rubber tree). Lineage: Eukaryota; Viridiplantae; Streptophyta; Magnoliopsida; Malpighiales; Euphorbiaceae. The record is from RNAcentral.
CUGUACCGCACAGUUGACUAUUAUUUUCAUUCAUAGACAUUAGUUAAGUGAAAAAAUGUGGAGCAAGGUUGCCUAUUCCUUCCUCUAAUAGGUGUCUAGGUGUUUCUGCCAAGAAUUACAAUGAACAGGCUCAAGAUCUUCUCUCCAACUUCUUUUCACUGGAUCUUUUUUCUUCUGCUUCUCGCCGUUUCUGCUGCACAAAAGCUGUGUAUCCAGCACCAACAUUAGCAGCAGAUAAAAGUGCUGCAUGGGCUGCCACUGUGGUUAAAGAAUCCUGUCCACCAGUUGGUAGAA